UACGUAGGGUGCAAGCGUUAUCCGGAAUUAUUGGGCGUAAAGAGCUCGUAGGCGGUUUGUCGCGUCUGCCGUGAAAGUCCGGGGCUCAACUCCGGAUCUGCGGUGGGUACGGGCAGACUAGAGUGCAGUAGGGGAGACUGGAAUUCCUGGUGUAGCGGUGAAAUGCGCAGAUAUCAGGAGGAACACCGAUGGCGAAGGCAGGUCUCUGGGCUGUAACUGACGCUGAGGAGCGAAAGCAUGGGGAGCGAACAGG
RNAcentral lists this ribosomal RNA (253 nucleotides) under uncultured bacterium. RNAcentral's name for it is "partial 16S ribosomal RNA". It matches the Rfam family "Bacterial small subunit ribosomal RNA", at positions 524 to 776 of the family's 1533-position model. The record is from RNAcentral.